RNAcentral lists this ribosomal RNA (484 nucleotides) under uncultured bacterium. RNAcentral's name for it is "partial 16S ribosomal RNA". It matches the Rfam family "Bacterial small subunit ribosomal RNA", at positions 30 to 507 of the family's 1533-position model. The record is from RNAcentral.
AUUGAACGCUGGCGGCAGGCCUAACACAUGCAAGUCGAGCGGAUGAAGGGAGCUUGCUCCUGGAUUCAGCGGCGGACGGGUGAGUAAUUCCUAGGAAUCUGCCUGGUAGUGGGGGAUAACGUCCGGAAACGGGCGCUAAUACCGCAUACGUCCUGAGGGAGAAAGUGGGGGUUCUUCGGACCUCACGCUAUCAGAUGAGCCUAGGUCGGAUUAGCUAGUUGGUGGGGUAAAGGCCUACCAAGGCGACGAUCCGUAACUGGUCUGAGAGGAUGAUCAGUCACACUGGAACUGAGACACGGUCCAGACUCCUACGGGAGGCAGCAGUGGGGAAUAUUGGACAAUGGGCGAAAGCCUGAUCCAGCCAUGCCGCGUGUGUGAAGAAGGUCUUCGGAUUGUAAAGCACUUUAAGUUGGGAGGAAGGGCAGUAAGUUAAUACCUUGCUGUUUUGACGGUACCAACAGAAUAAGCACCGGCUAACUUCGUG